RNAcentral lists this long non-coding RNA (1311 nucleotides) under Homo sapiens (human). RNAcentral's name for it is "HSALNT0137212". Lineage: Eukaryota; Metazoa; Chordata; Mammalia; Primates; Hominidae. The record is from RNAcentral.
UCUGUGUGUACAGCAGUAGCAGGUGCGAUAAUUUCAUUGUGUUUCACACUUUUGAGGUUGGAGUUACCCUUUCCCGAGGGCAGGUGUGGGGCCCACUGAAACGGCACAGUCAAAGGCAUGCAUGGUCUGCUCCCCAGGCUGGCUGUAGGAGUAGUGAGAUGCAGUCAUUGCUGUUGUUGAAAAUUAUAAGUAUUUUGAGAUGUUUGAUCUUUUUAUUUAAACAAAAAGGUUCUCCUGUAGGUGGGAGGCCAAAUCUAUGCAGCAGAUGUAGCUGGGUAGGGGAAGUUGAUAGUGACUGACGUGGUGAUGGUGGUUUACAGUUUAUUUUAGGUGCAUUUACACACAUGAGUUUUCUAUUUUCUUUUUGAAGAUAAGGAAAAUAGAUUUAAACUGUUUAUUUAAAUAUAUGGCUUCUAAAAUGUAAUGUAUAAAAAUACAUAGAAUAUUAAUUUUUAUUUAUUCACUUGUUCAGAUGUUUGAAGUUGAGAAACAUUUAUAUUCUUUCUAGGAGUAUAAAUCUAUAUUUUUGUCAAUAGGUAAGGAAUUACUGCAGGAAAAUAGUGCUGUUCUGGAGACUAAGCACUGUGUGUCUCUUGGGCAGUCUCUGUAUUUCUCAGAAAAGACAGUAUAUCCCCUGUAUGUGCUUCAGGGAAAAAGCAGGCACACAAACAGAUAAAAAGCAAAACAAAACCAAAACAAUAGCACAAUCCCAUGAAACUAAAAAGGUCUCAAGGAAAAAAAGACAUUUAUUCCAUUUAUUAUUUAAUCUUGAUAGUUUUGAAACUAAUGUAGAAAUUUCGUUCUCAUUAUAGAUAGCGAAAAGAAAAGCUGAAAAGGAAAAAAUUGUUUCAUAACCCCCAUUAUUUUUCCUGAAAGCAAAUGGAAAUCUUAGGUUUUCAGUAUAAAUGUACUUGGCAACUAUUCUAAAAGACUCAAGGCUUGGGAAUGAUGAUGGUUCUUCCUCUUCCUCAGUGAGCAACAGCUUUCCUUUGGAUAAAAUGACUCACACUAACUUUACAUCAUCUGAUGAAUCAGUUAUGACCUAAAUGUCUGCCAAAAGUUCAAACUUUGCUCCGCACUUGCAUACAAUGAUGGCUAUCCAACGAGAAAAGGAUUUCCAGGUUUUGCCUGAAAGUUGACAAGAAUUGACACAAAACAGAAUUGUAUCUAACAGACAUACAUAGGGAGCUCCUAGAAGUUGGGAAACCCUGACUCCCAUUCACCUGACAAAUAUAGGUGGACUUUUCUUCUCUUCCUCCUCUCCCUCUUCCCUCUCCUCCUGCCCUUCCCUCCUCUUUCCCAUUCUCUUCC